GGGGAUUUAGCUCAGUGGUAGAGCACUUGCCUAGCAAGCACAAGGCCCUGGGUUCGGUCCCCAGCUCG
Non-coding RNA from Rattus norvegicus (Norway rat), 68 nucleotides. NCBI's taxonomy places the organism in Eukaryota, Metazoa, Chordata, Mammalia, Rodentia, Muridae. The record is from Rfam.